CCUACGGGAGGCAGCAGUGGGGGAUAUUGGACAAUGGGGGAAAGCCUGAUCCAGCGACGCCGCGUGAGUGAAGAAGUCCUUCGGGAUGUAAAGCUCUGUCAGCAGGGAAGAAAGAAAUGACGGUACUUGACCAAGAAGCUCCGGCUAACUACGUGCCAGCAGCCGCGGUAAUACGUAGGGGGCAAGCGUUAUCCGGAUGUACUGGGUGUAAAGGGAGAGUAGACGGUGUGGCAAGUCAGGAGUGAAAGGCGGGGGCCCAACCCCCGGACUGCUGUUGAGACUGUGUAACUGGAGUGCAGGAGAGGUAGGCGGAAUUCCUGGUGUAGCGGUGAAAUGCGUAGAUAUUAGGAGGAACACCAGUGGCGAAGGCGGCCUACUGGACUAUAACUGACGUUGAGGCGCGAAAGCGUGGGGAGCAAACAGGAUUAGAUACCCUUGUAGUC
RNAcentral lists this ribosomal RNA (443 nucleotides) under uncultured bacterium. Its description in RNAcentral is "partial 16S ribosomal RNA". It matches the Rfam family "Bacterial small subunit ribosomal RNA", at positions 338 to 795 of the family's 1533-position model. The record is from RNAcentral.